This 2177-nucleotide long non-coding RNA is filed under the name Phocoena sinus (vaquita). RNAcentral's name for it is "lncRNA (ENSPSNG00000007119.1)". The record is from RNAcentral. Lineage: Eukaryota; Metazoa; Chordata; Mammalia; Artiodactyla; Phocoenidae.
AGUCUGCCCCGGGAUUGCCCAAGUGCGCACGUUCCCAUCCUCGCCUUUUCAUUCGGCCGUAGUUUCACCAGCUGCCUCCCUCGUGAGCUGCCAGCUUGGCGAACCCGUUGGUAACACAAGGAAGCUCUUUCUGGAUGCUUGACUGGUCUCCAGGGGACAUGGGUUCGAGCCCUGAUCCGGGAAGAUCCCACAUGCUGUGGAGCAACUAAGACCAUGCACCACAACUACUGAGCCUGUGCUCUAGAGACUGUGAGCCACAACUACUGAAGCCCAUGCGCCUAGAGCCCGUGCUCUGCAGCAAGAGAAGCCACCACAAUGAGAAGCCCACACACCGCAACGAAGAGUAGCCCCAACUCACUGCAGCUAGAGAAAGCCUGUGCGCAGCAACAAAGACCCAACACAGCCAAAAAUUAACUAAUUAAUUAAUUAAUUAAAAAAUAGUUAAUUCCUGGCUUCCUCAAGAAAAUGAAACAUGGCACAACAUACUUCUUAUUCUUUGAGCCUGAUAUUAUGCAUAGCAUUCCUCUGUAGAGAAUGUAUUUAAAUUGUUGCCUAUUUUGUAUCAUUUUGAAAGAUUAGCAGGCUCAAUAGGAGCCAUUGUUAGUGAAUUUCCUGUCCUUGUAAGUAGUUUGAGUUGUAACUUAAGUUUUCUCUUUGUAGUGCCAUCCCUACCAUUGUUUUUUUUUUCCUACUCAAUACAGUAUUCCUCAUAUUGUUUGUUGAACAUGUAUCCCUCUACCCCUUCUCUUAAUCUAUUCUCCCACAUUCACAGAGCCCUUGCUUCAUCCAUUAUGCUCUUUGCUAAUUUCACUGCUUGCUUUUUCCCUUCAGCAUAUUAGAGUGUACCCAUCUUAAAAAUAAUCAGAACAACCUUCCUCUAAUUGUUGCCCCAUCUAGCUAUUAUCCAAUACUUCUUCCCGUCACACACCAUGUUUUGAAAAAAUAGCCAGAGGUCAUCUCAAAUUCCUCAUUCCUGCUAUUUUCUUAAUCCAUUUUAUCUGAUUUUUCAUCCCUUCUACAAUGAAACCAUGGUCUUUAAUGACCUGCGUUACCUUCUGCUGCUGGAUCUCUGUAGCUUUGUUGAUCCUUCCUUGGUUUGUGACACCAUUUCUCUUCAAUUUCUAUGUUCUGAUUCCCUCUACUCCUCAAAUGUUGGUGUUCUUGGGAUUCUUUUCUUGAUCUUAUUCUUUCCUUGCUCUACAGACUCCAAUUUGAUGAUCUUAUUCAUUCCUUUAGUUCCAAAAUCAUUGUUAAAGUUAUAACGUUUAACAGUCGUUGUAUUUUCACUUGCAGUAACCUUCCUGAGCUGCCAUCUCAUAUAUUCAGCCAUAUAUCUGCUAUACUUACUUGUUUCACAGUAUCUCAGUAUGUACAGAACUGAAUCCUACUCUUCCCACCAUGGAUGCUUUUCUUCCUGGAUUCCCUUUAAUGAAGAGAAGCACCAUCCAGACCAAACCCUGAUGCCUCCCUAAGUGCUUCCCCCCUCAAAAUCAAAUGAGGCUAAGCCAAGUUUACCUGCUUAUUGUCUCUUGAUUCUAAUUCCAUCUUUCUAUCCUAAUUCCAAAGCCUACUGUUUUUGGCCAGAAUUACCUCAUCACUUCUUAAGACUGAUUCCAAUCUCAUCUGAUAUUUAUUCUAUUUAUAACACUGCUUCAAUUUUUUUUUCUGAAACACAUUUUUUAUUAUUUUAUUCCCCUUCUUGAAAUCCUUCAGUGCUUCCCCAUUACAUUUAAGAUAAACUCCAAACUUCUUAGCGUAGUACAUAUAAGGCAUUUUAUGUUCUGGGCCCAGUGUUUCUCUCUAGCUGCAACUCUUACCUCUGCUAUGUGCAGUUCAACUUUGUGUCCGGUCCCAGAGGUCACUCCACUCUCCACCUUCCACGCUGUCCUCUUUCCCCUUUUUACCCUUCCUUCUGGCCAUUCCCUGCCCAGCUCUCAAACUUCAAUCCUAACAAACAGCACUUCUUCCAGGCCUCUGCUUUUCUUUCUCACCUAUUCAUUUGGCAUUGCCAUGUUUCCUAUUCAUGUUUCUUUUAUCACACUGAUUAAUUCUGCUGUAAUGGUUUGUCUGAGUCUUUCCUAGACCUACACUCCCUAGCAGCAGGAAUUAUGUAUUAUCUUUGUAUCCUGCUAACUAGAAUGUACCUAUGGAAUAUACUUAAUAAAAGCUUGUUGGAU